AUAAAGCAAGAAGAAGACGACGACGCGUCAGCUGCUGUGAACGUGCUCAGGACAGUUUGGGCGGGCAGCGGAUCAGAGCCAUGAGUCGCAUUGACUGACAUUAUAGGACUGACAGACUGCAACGGUUUGAGUUAAAAAUCUUUGUUUGUGUUCUACUGAAGAAACAAAGUCACCUACAUCCUGGAUGCCCUGGGGUGUUGAUAAUGACCAGAUCAGCACCACGAUCCCUGCAGUACUGCCUGCUGUCAGACCAGUUCUUGAACUCAUUGGACAUAAAAAACCAACCUAAAACACAGAUUUUCAUACAUAAACACUUUUCAAA
Molecule: long non-coding RNA, 322 nt
Organism: Onychostoma macrolepis
Lineage: Eukaryota; Metazoa; Chordata; Actinopteri; Cypriniformes; Cyprinidae
Exons: 3
Source: RefSeq, a predicted model, not a curated record